RNAcentral lists this ribosomal RNA (510 nucleotides) under Triticum aestivum (bread wheat). RNAcentral describes it as "partial small subunit ribosomal RNA". Lineage: Eukaryota; Viridiplantae; Streptophyta; Magnoliopsida; Poales; Poaceae. The record is from RNAcentral.
AUGAGGAUCAAGAAUGGGGAGAAUGAAGAGGAUGAUUUACAGCUGAUUGAUGGAAUCUCAGAAUUUGACGGUUUACUCAUGUCGUGGAGACCGCACGAGGUUCGCAUUGGUGGAAAUUGUGGUGCAGUUGAUACGUCUUUUGCACUUGUUCAUAAUUCAGUCGAGGCCACAGUACAAGUUAUCAUAUCAAAAGUGCAGACUGCAUUUGAUUUAUCCCUCAGUUCUACGAUUGCUCUUCUGGAGAUGAAUAAAGAAUUCCAGCUCUUCAGUGGAAAUAUUAGUGAGUCUUGUGGCUUAGGAAGCUUUGUGAUUGCUGUCACAUGGGAUACACUGAUGAAUUUGAAGUUCAAGGUUGAUCACGAAGGCUGUAACAAUAAUAUGGAACGCAAUUGUUCCUUCAAAGCUAAGUUAAAUGGACACGCCAGCCAUCAGCUAAAUCUCGAGACUGCCUCAAUUUUAGUUAAGUUGUGCCGAAAGCUGGGUCAUUUCGUCCUCCAAGCUGAUUGCUGA